AGGCUUAAGCCCUUUAUUCAGAGGUUCAAAUCCUCUCCCUAGCU
This 44-nucleotide transfer RNA is filed under the name Colinus virginianus (northern bobwhite). RNAcentral describes it as "partial tRNA-Leu". Lineage: Eukaryota; Metazoa; Chordata; Aves; Galliformes; Odontophoridae. The record is from RNAcentral.